Molecule: ribosomal RNA, 252 nt
Filed under: uncultured Ruminococcus sp.
Lineage: Bacteria; Bacillati; Bacillota; Clostridia; Eubacteriales; Oscillospiraceae
Description: partial 16S ribosomal RNA
Rfam family: Bacterial small subunit ribosomal RNA
Source: RNAcentral
UACGUAGGGAGCAAGCGUUGUCCGGAAUUACUGGGUGUAAAGGGAGCGUAGGCGGGAUGGCAAGUUGGGUGUUAAAUCUACCGGCUCAACUGGUAGUCGCACUCAAAACUGCUAUUCUUGAGUGAAGUAGAGGCAGGCGGAAUUCCUAGUGUAGCGGUGAAAUGCGUAGAUAUCACGAAGAACUCCGAUUGCGAAGGCAGCUCACUGGACUGCAACUGACACUGAGGCUCGAAAGUGUGGGUAUCAAACAGG